This 328-nucleotide long non-coding RNA is filed under the name Sander lucioperca (pikeperch). RNAcentral's name for it is "lncRNA (ENSSLUG00000003277.1)". Lineage: Eukaryota; Metazoa; Chordata; Actinopteri; Perciformes; Percidae. The record is from RNAcentral.
UUUGUUUCAGGAUCCAGCAGCAGAGACCAGAGUCUCCUGAACCUGAACCUGAUCCUGAUCCUGAUCCCAGCUGUGUGUCCAUGAAGAGCGACCUGUCUAAGGGUUUACCUGUGGCCAUCAAAGAUGAUUGUCACUCUGUUGAUCAAAGAGAGGACCAGGAGAUCUCAGAAGUUCCCAGUGGUCAGUCUGCUCAGGACUCCAUAUGUAUGGUCUGUACAUGUACAACAACUGCUUUUACAUCUACAGUAUCUUGUACACAAUCAUCUGGUGCACUUUAUAGACCAGAGGAUUGUCAUUGUUAUGUUUUUUAUGUUGCACCAUAGUGUAG